CCCUUCAUUCCACCGGAAUCUGUCAGUGCAGAAACCAGAUUUCAGUGAAAUGAAGCCCA
This 59-nucleotide microRNA precursor is filed under the name Gallus gallus (chicken). RNAcentral's name for it is "Gga-Mir-205-P2_pre stem-loop". It matches the Rfam family "mir-205 microRNA precursor family", at positions 10 to 68 of the family's 75-position model. The record is from RNAcentral. Lineage: Eukaryota; Metazoa; Chordata; Aves; Galliformes; Phasianidae.